UCUCUUUAUGUCUUCAGGUAACAUUUCAGUAUUGUUUAUGGGAUCAUUUGAAAACCUUAUCUUCUCUUACUUCGACCCAACGCCUCAAUCUCCAGUGUCUCUUAUCUCACCUCAUCAGGGAUCGGUCUCUAUCCCUCUCAGUUCUAAGAGUGGUUGAGUAUGCAGGUAUGAGUAAGGUUGAAGUAGAGUUUCACAAGUCUCUUCUAGUGAUGAUAUUCAGUGGCCUAUCUGAUCAGCAGCUCACGAAUUUUGUUUGUUCAAUGGGUGAAAAUAGGAAGGAUUUUGUGAAGAAUUUGUAUCAUUUCGUAAGGAAACAGUCGCAGGAAAAGAACACCAAAACAUCACAGAAUAUUUUUAAAAGAUUAGAGGAGUUGCUGAUAGAGACAAUAGAAUAUUAAUUGUAUUACCUUGUUACAUAAAUGUGGAUUUUUUGACAGGAUAAAAUUUCAACUAUUUCAUGCA
Molecule: long non-coding RNA, 462 nt
Organism: Amphimedon queenslandica
Lineage: Eukaryota; Metazoa; Porifera; Demospongiae; Haplosclerida; Niphatidae
Exons: 3
Source: RefSeq, a predicted model, not a curated record